GAUGAACGCUGGCGGCGUGCCUAAUACAUGCAAGUCGAGCGAACGGACGAGAAGCUUGCUUCUCUGAUGUUAGCGGCGGACGGGUGAGUAACACGUGGAUAACCUACCUAUAAGACUGGGAUAACUUCGGGAAACCGGAGCUAAUACCGGAUGAUAUUUUGAACCGCAUGGUUCAAAAGUGAAAGACGGUCUUGCUGUCACUUAUAGAUGGAUACGCGCUGCAUUAGCUAGUUGGUAAGGUAACGGCUUACCAAGGCAACGAUGCAUAGCCGACCUGAGAGGGUGAUAGGCGACACUGGAACUGAGACACGGUCCAGACUCCUACGGGAGGCAGCAGUAGGGAAUCUUCCGCAAUGGGCGAAAGCCUGACGGAGCAACGCCGCGUGAGUGAUGACGGUCUUCGGAUCGUAAAACUCUGUUAUUAGGGAAGAACAUAUGUGUCCGUAACUGUGCACAUCUUGACGGUACCUAAUCAGAAAGCCACGGCUAACUACGUG
This 497-nucleotide ribosomal RNA is filed under the name uncultured bacterium. RNAcentral describes it as "partial 16S ribosomal RNA". It matches the Rfam family "Bacterial small subunit ribosomal RNA", at positions 28 to 507 of the family's 1533-position model. The record is from RNAcentral.